GGACAGCCAUCGCCGAGUCCCCGUACGGCGCGAGCCAGGGGAGCCGGGGACCCGCCCUCCUGUCGCCGCCUUCGCGGCUGGAGGGGCCCAAGUCCCUGGGGUGAAUCGGACGCCCGCGCAGCCGCGAGGGGGUCCGUAGGAGACCUUCCUGCUCCGAACCCGUCAGCUAACCCGGUAGGCGAGAAGGAAGGAAAG
This 195-nucleotide small RNA is filed under the name Streptomyces regalis. RNAcentral describes it as "c-di-AMP sequence". It matches the Rfam family "c-di-AMP riboswitch aptamer (ydaO/yuaA leader)". From Rfam's summary of the family: This family represents a conserved RNA structure found upstream of the ydaO and yuaA genes in Bacillus subtilis and related genes in other bacteria. The ydaO/yuaA element is thought to act as a genetic "off" switch for the ydaO and yuaA genes in its native state. The record is from Rfam by way of RNAcentral. Lineage: Bacteria; Bacillati; Actinomycetota; Actinomycetes; Kitasatosporales; Streptomycetaceae.